CAGAGUAUCUUUUAGAACUCCAAACCACUGUGAACAUACCACUGUUGCUUCGGCGGGCUCCCGGCCGCGGCGUGUAAAAGCCCGUGGCCCCCCGCCGGAGGACCCAAACUCUGAUUUCCAGCGGAUCUUCUGAGUAUAUAUAUAAGCAAUCA
RNAcentral lists this unclassified non-coding RNA (152 nucleotides) under uncultured Eurotiales. Its description in RNAcentral is "sequence contains ITS1". Lineage: Eukaryota; Fungi; Ascomycota; Eurotiomycetes; Eurotiales. The record is from RNAcentral.